Molecule: long non-coding RNA, 764 nt
Organism: Rosa chinensis
Lineage: Eukaryota; Viridiplantae; Streptophyta; Magnoliopsida; Rosales; Rosaceae
Exons: 3
Source: RefSeq, a predicted model, not a curated record
CGCUCUUUCUCUCUCUCAAUCUCUUUCCCUUUCGCGUCUUUCUUCCUCUGCUCUCACCCAAAACUUCAAGCUUCCUCUCCUCUCACCCAAAACUUCGAGCUUCCUCUCUUCAAGUUUCUUUUUUCUUCUUGAAUAUUAGGCACAUGGAUCAAAAUGUUUCAGAUUCAUCUUCAGAUGCUGCAAAUGAGGAAUUUUGGGAUCUUGCCAGUUUAUCAUCAUGCGAAGAAUUGUUGAAUCUGUAGAUUACUGCUCUACAAGAGAUGGGAAGAAGAAGACGCUGGGCAACGUCACUUGGCUAAUAUCAGCCGGUAACAGCCAUGCCAUUACAUAUGUUCCACAUUAUGACACCCUUGGAGCUAAGGAUGAAGCCGUGUUAUGUAGUUUUUGUGGGUCUCUCAGCUAGUACUAAAGCUUGUAUGUACAAAGUUUUUCAAGUAAGUGUUGUGCGUAAUAUAGAUACUAAUGUAAUUGGUAUGCUUUCUUUUGCACUCCCAGCUAACACUUCAAUGUUGUGUUCUUGUUGAUGAUGGUUAUCAUGAGUUGUUUUGGGAAAUUAAUGCUUAUUCAAAGCAAUGGACUAUGAUUUCAAGUGAAAUUUAAAACUUGUGAAUGGCUGCACCUGAGCCUAUUUCUAGCUUUUGCUUGCUGUCCAUUCGCACAGCUCAAGCUUUUAGGACAUAGUGUUCUGACAUUGUACCAAAAGCAUUAUUUGAAACCACCAAUUAAGUGUUCUGACAUUUCACAUUUGUUUAUGACGUUUUGGU